RNAcentral lists this ribosomal RNA (559 nucleotides) under uncultured fungus. RNAcentral describes it as "SSU rRNA". It matches the Rfam family "Eukaryotic small subunit ribosomal RNA", at positions 194 to 755 of the family's 1831-position model. The record is from RNAcentral. Lineage: Eukaryota; Fungi.
GGAAGGGGUGUAUUUAUUAGAUAAAAAACCAAUGCGGUUCGCCGCUCCAUUGGUGAUUCAUAAUAACUCCUCGAAUCGCACGGCCUUGUGCUGGCGAUGCUUCAUUCAAAUAUCUGCCCUAUCAACUUUCGAUGGUAGGAUAGUGGCCUACCAUGGUUUCAACGGGUAACGGGGAAUAAGGGUUCGAUUCCGGAGAGGGAGCCUGAGAAACGGCUACCACAUCCAAGGAAGGCAGCAGGCGCGCAAAUUACCCAAUCCCGACACGGGGAGGUAGUGACAAUAAAUAACAAUAUAGGGCUCUUUUGGGUCUUAUAAUUGGAAUGAGUACAAUUUAAAUCUCUUAACGAGGAACAAUUGGAGGGCAAGUCUGGUGCCAGCAGCCGCGGUAAUUCCAGCUCCAAUAGCGUAUAUUAAAGUUGUUGCAGUUAAAAAGCUCGUAGUUGAACUUCAGAUCUGGUUGAGUGGUCCGCCUAACGGUGUGUUACUGCUUGACUGGGUCUUGUCUCUUGGUGAACCGUUGUGUUCUUUAUUGAAUGCUUCGGGGAACCAGGACUUUUAC